Molecule: unclassified non-coding RNA, 159 nt
Filed under: soil metagenome
Description: partial internal transcribed spacer 1
Source: RNAcentral
CACAAAAAAAUAUGAAGGCUGUACGCAGCUGAAUUAUUUUUCACCCAUGUCUUUUGCGCACUUGUUGUUUCCUGGGCGGGUUCGCCCGCCACCAGGACCACACCAUAAACCUUUUUUAUGCAGUUGCAAUCAGCGUCAGUAAAACAAGUAAUUAAUUUA